UGCGAAGGAGAGAAUCCCAGGAAUGUGAUCGCCUUCCUGGCUUCGUUCAGUGCGAGGCAGACCUCAGGUUUACCCACCCGCAAAACCUCAUAGGGUCACAGAACCGCUCGGGUUGGAAAAGAGCUCUGAGAUCGUCUGCUCCAACCAUCCACGCACCACCAGCACUGCCCCAUAGCCGUGUCCCUCAGCACCGUUUUUCUCCUCACUGAGUGUUCCCAGGCAUUCUGGGCAGCCUGGGCUGCUGGUUGGCGACCCUGCACACAGCAGGGGGUUGGGACUGGAUGAGCAUUGUGGUCCUUUGCAACCCAGGCCAUCCUGUGAUCCUAUGGUUACUCUGGCACAAUAAAUCCAUAACCAUCCAGGUUCCGUUUAGCUUUGCCUCGUGGUGUGAGCACAGCUGAGCUCACCGAGGCAGUUCUACACAUCUCUACGGAUGGGGGCAGGUUGGUCUGUCCCAGUUCCCAGACAUAAACCCAGUAUUUACAAUAGGGUCACGUCUGGCUCUGUUGUUAAAGGGGGAGAAGGAUCAGGCUGAUGGUGCGCCUCAGCCCCAUCUCAUCCGUAAAUUGUAGGAAACAAAAAGAAUCUCCAUCAGAGCAGCGCUUGGAGAUCCUACGAGGAAAUCCCUAUUGAAAACAGUGAGCAUUUGGAGGAGGGACGCCCCCUCUUUCGGAGCCGAACUGGCACCAGGAGCCCCAUUGGGCCGAAGGACGCCUCCCAGCAGUUGGAAAGGCCUGUUGAAAUCCGUAUAAAAAUGGAAAAUUACGAGAGCCUGCCUGAGGAAAGGGUCUUGCCCAACAGCUCUUGGAUAAGAGCUCCAAAGGAGAGCCCAGAAUAGAAAUCAUUACCACUGAACUUCUGCCGAGCGGCAGGGGAACGGCCUGCUGCACGUCUGCGUCUUCUGUUGGCUCAGAGACCCCCACAAGCAAAGCAAGGCCAUGGUGCUUUUCUUAUCAUAAGCAAGAUAGAGAGUCGUAGAAUCAUAGAAUUGCUCAGGUUGGAAAAGACCUCACAAGUCAUCAGGUCCGACCGCAACCCAACCCUCCUACCCUGACUCUAACAGCCCUCUGCUAAGACAGGCAGAAAUGAGGCUGCGAGGUGGGGACGGCAUGGGACGGUGGGUAAGUGUUGGUUUGGUGCUGGUGUGCCCAGACCACCGUCUGUCCUGAAGGUUAGGGGUGAUCUGCAAUGUUCUCUGGAUGGAUACCCGCCGUGCUGCACAGUUGGGGUGUGAAUAUCCUGGAUCCCAGUUGUUGCCUUGCUCCGUAUCCGCAGCGGGGUCCCAGCCCCAAUGGGGCCAUGACAGAGGAGAGCUCAGAAAUACACUGCCACGAAGGGCGACAACAAAACCCUCAGUGCUCCACAGAGCAGCAGGACCAGCAGGAACACCAGCACUACCGCCGGGUUGGGCAGCAGCUCGGUGCAUGACUUGCAUGUGCACAUUGCAACACUGCUGUCCUUGGGAGGUAGGAAAAGUCCAGCCUGGAUCCGCGAGGACACAGCUGAGCCCUGGGACGGCGGCUGCCACCCGGCUCUGGUUUCACCCCUAUGAACCCUGUGACUUCUUUUCCUCUCCCCUCCAGCUCAGGGGAAAAUCAGAAAGCCGUCCUGGAUGGUGAGAAGCUUCUUGGCUCCGUUCCCCACCAGGAUAAGUUUUCCCACCAGGAGGAGCGCAUCGCGGCGCUCGUUCAAGGGUUGUUUUUGCAAAUGCCCCCGGUUUGUUUUGCUCGGUGCUUACAUUCCUCCCUUGGCACAGCAGGCAUACGGCCCUGUCUGUCAUUAACCCGCACGUCUGGCAAGAUUACUCUUCAACAAUAACAUCCUUUCAAAGAUCCCACUUCUCCUGCACCUGCAAAGCACGGGCAGGAGGCCGCCCGCAGCUCUGGGCACACAGCAACAAACCUCAGUGCCUUUGGGUGCCUUUAUUCCAGCUUCUGCUCAGCAGCACCUCUCAGCAAAGCAGCAG
This 1966-nucleotide long non-coding RNA is filed under the name Gallus gallus (chicken). RNAcentral's name for it is "lncRNA (ENSGALG00010003711.1)". Lineage: Eukaryota; Metazoa; Chordata; Aves; Galliformes; Phasianidae. The record is from RNAcentral.